RNAcentral lists this ribosomal RNA (501 nucleotides) under uncultured Paracoccaceae bacterium. RNAcentral describes it as "bacterial SSU rRNA". It matches the Rfam family "Bacterial small subunit ribosomal RNA", at positions 63 to 611 of the family's 1533-position model. Lineage: Bacteria; Pseudomonadati; Pseudomonadota; Alphaproteobacteria; Rhodobacterales; Paracoccaceae. The record is from RNAcentral.
CGAGCGCACCUUCGGGUGAGCGGCGGACGGGUUAGUAACGCUGUGGGAACGUGCCCUUCUCUAAGGAGUAGCCUCGGGAAACUGAGAGUAAUACCUUAUACGCCCUUCGGGGGAAAGAUUUAUCGGAGAAGGAUCGGCCCGCGUUAGAUUAGAUAGUUGGUGGGGUAACGGCCUACCAAGUCGACGAUCUAUAGCUGGUUUUAGAGGAUGAUCAGCAACACUGGGACUGAGACACGGCCCAGACUCCUACGGGAGGCAGCAGUGGGGAAUCUUAGACAAUGGGCGCAAGCCUGAUCUAGCCAUGCCGCGUGAGUGAUGAAGGCCUUAGGGUCGUAAAGCUCUUUCGCCAGGGAUGAUAAUGACAGUACCUGGUAAAGAAACCCCGGCUAACUCCGUGCCAGCAGCCGCGGUAAUACGGAGGGGGUUAGCGUUGUUCGGAAUUACUGGGCGUAAAGCGCACGUAGGCGGACUAUUAAGUCAGAGGUGAAAUCCCGGGGCUCA